RNA transcript from Prunus persica (peach), 1129 nucleotides. RefSeq lists it as uncharacterized. NCBI's taxonomy places the organism in Eukaryota, Viridiplantae, Streptophyta, Magnoliopsida, Rosales, Rosaceae. The transcript has 5 exons. The record is from RefSeq and is a predicted model, not a curated record.
CAAAAGCUCAAAUGCCCCUCACUCUCGCGAAUAUCACUAGUUCUGUCUUUUGUUUCCCAAACCCCAUUUCAUGAAAAUGGAGAAAUCCUUCACUCUGGUUCAGACAGUUGUCACUGCAACAGUCUUCUCUGCGGUUUCCGGCUGGUACGGGUUCAUGUUCGGGAGGGAAUCUGCUCGGAAAGAGCUCGGCAGCUUGAUCGACGAUCUUCGCCGUCAAAAUCCCAACUCCGAUCCACCACCACCACCUCAUGCUUGAAUUCACUGGGUGCUUGGGUCAAGGUUGAUGGCAUCAAGUGGGCAGUGAGGAAGUCACUUUGAUCCUUAAAGCUUGGAACUGAGAAAAGCAAUGUCUGACGUCUUCAUUAAAUGCACUCCAUUGCACCAUAUUUGGCGGUGUUUUCCAUUCUUCUGACAUUAUCCUUGAGGGCGGAAUGUGCUGUCCUGUAUAGUUCAGAUGAUACUUCGAAACCUUUUGUAUGCUGACUGACUUCUAAGAUACAGUGUUUUCUUUAGUUUCCUGAAAAGCUAAAAUCAUCUUACAGCAUCUCGGAAGAGAAAUCGGCUAACCCAUACUGGUGUGGUGUCCCUGCAAACUUAGUGGCUAAGUGGUUGGGAUGCUUACCACAAUAACGUUGCCCAAGUAAUCUCUGAAUCUGUCAUGGAAGCUUCUCAUGUAGUCGGUGUAAACCUGGAUCGGUGUUCGUCCUCCGAGAACAGGCAAUGAAUCACAUCCCAAGGAUAUGUACUCAGGAUUCCUCCUGCCUGAUUUGUCUGUGUAAACAAGGUCAGGGUUCAUGCUGACUUCUUCUAGCACCCAUGGAGGUAGAGGAAUGCUGAAAAUUCAUAAAAAUGAUGGUUUAGUAAAAUGAAGGCAUAAAUCCACACCAGCUGGAGAUAGAUUAACUGUUGCAGAAACAUAAGUAUGUACAGAGUUUCUUGAGUCCUAAGUAAUUAAUGACUUAGAGAGAGUCUAAUUCCAAAACACUAUGCAGGUUAUAGACUAUUAGUUAGGGAUGUUUUGGAGUGCAUUAGUAGGAAGCACCUUUGCUCAUAAACACUUUUAUGAGAAGCGCAAAAAGUACUUCAGGAAUAUCAGAAGAAAAAAAACACUAAAAAGUGCUUUUCUAAA